AUGGCCGGAGCACGGGACGCCCACCCCCCGCCGCAAGCACCGCCGCCCUCCCACCGCCACGGAGCACGAACGGCGCACGCGGAGGAGCGCCGCGCCGCUGCUGCCGCACGAGUCCCCGCUCGCAGCCGGGCCGCUCCGGCGCGCCAGAGCCCCGCCGCCGCCGGAUCCGCGCGGGGCUUUGCCCGGCGGAGGCUAACGGGCGGCGGCGAGGAGGGGGGAAGCAGGGGGGGCGGCCGCUGUGGUGGCGAGAUGCGCCGCCGCCCGAGUCGCCCUGGGGAGGACGACGCGGGGGCCAGGAUCUUCUGGGGACGUCUGCAGAGAAAAAGUUCUGUGGACAAUAUACAAGGGUAA
This 351-nucleotide ribosomal RNA is filed under the name Triticum aestivum (bread wheat). RNAcentral describes it as "partial small subunit ribosomal RNA". The record is from RNAcentral. Lineage: Eukaryota; Viridiplantae; Streptophyta; Magnoliopsida; Poales; Poaceae.